This is a microRNA precursor of Bos indicus x Bos taurus (hybrid cattle), 70 nucleotides long. The record is from Ensembl. Lineage: Eukaryota; Metazoa; Chordata; Mammalia; Artiodactyla; Bovidae.
UUGGCCAAAAAGUUUAUUCGGGUUUUUACCAUAACCUGUUAGGAAAAACCCAGACAGAGUUUUUGGCCAA